GUGAGAAAUGAGAGCUUGCUCUCUGGGUGGCGAGUGGCGGACGGGUGAGGAAUACAUCGGAAUCUACUUUUUCGUGGGGGAUAACGUAGGGAAACUUACGCUAAUACCGCAUACGACCUACGGGUGAAAGCAGGGGAUCUUCGGACCUUGCGCGAUUGAAUGAGCCGAUGUCGGAUUAGCUAGUUGGCGGGGUAAAGGCCCACCAAGGCGACGAUCCGUAGCUGGUCUGAGAGGAUGAUCAGCCACACUGGAACUGAGACACGGUCCAGACUCCUACGGGAGGCAGCAGUGGGGAAUAUUGGACAAUGGGCGCAAGCCUGAUCCAGCCAUACCGCGUGGGUGAAGAAGGCCUUCGGGUUGUAAAGCCCUUUUGUUGGGAAAGAAAUCCAGCUGGUUAAUACCCGGUUGGGAUGACGGUACCCAAAGAAUAAGCACCGGCUAACUUCGUGCCAGCAGCCGCGGUAAUACGAAGGGUGCAAGCGUUACUCGGAAUUACUGGGCGUAAAGCGUGCGUAGGUGGUCGUUUAAGUCCGUUGUGAAAGCCCUGGGCUCAACCUGGGAACUGCAGUGGAUACUGGGCGACUAGAAUGUGGUAGAGGGUAGCGGAAUUCCUGGUGUAGCAGUGAAAUGCGUAGAGAUCAGGAGGAACA
This 650-nucleotide ribosomal RNA is filed under the name uncultured bacterium. RNAcentral describes it as "bacterial SSU rRNA". It matches the Rfam family "Bacterial small subunit ribosomal RNA", at positions 68 to 708 of the family's 1533-position model. The record is from RNAcentral.